Molecule: ribosomal RNA, 254 nt
Filed under: uncultured bacterium
Lineage: Bacteria
Description: partial 16S ribosomal RNA
Rfam family: Bacterial small subunit ribosomal RNA
Source: RNAcentral
UACGAAGGGGGCUAGCGUUGUUCGGAUUUACUGGGCGUAAAGCGCACGUAGGCGGAUCGUUAAGUCAGGGGUGAAAUCCUGGAGCUCAACUCCAGAACUGCCUUUGAUACUGGCGAUCUUGAGUCCGGAAGAGGUGAGUGGAACUCCUAGUGUAGAGGUGGAAUUCGUAGAUAUUAGGAAGAACACCAGUGGCGAAGGCGGCUCACUGGUCCGGUACUGACGCUGAGGUGCGAAAGCGUGGGGGAGCAAACAGG